CGCUGGCGGCGUGCCUAAUACAUGCAAGUAGAACGCUGAAGAGAGGAGCUUGCUCUUCUUGGAUGAGUUGCGAACGGGUGAGUAACGCGUAGGUAACCUGCCUUGUAGCGGGGGAUAACUAUUGGAAACGAUAGCUAAUACCGCAUAACAAUAGGUGACACAUGUCAUUUAUUUGAAAGGGGCAAUUGCUCCACUACAAGAUGGACCUGCGUUGUAUUAGCUAGUAGGUGAGGUAACGGCUCACCUAGGCGACGAUACAUAGCCGACUUGAGAGGGUGAUCGGCCACACUGGGACUGAGACACGGCCCAGACUCCUACGGGAGGCAGCAGUAGGGAAUCUUCGGCAAUGGGGGCAACCCUGACCGAGCAACGCCGCGUGAGUGAAGAAGGUUUUCGGAUCGUAAAGCUCUGUUGUAAGUCAAGAACGAGUGUGAGAGUGGAAAGUUCACACUGUGACGGUAGCUUACCAGAAAGGGACGGCUAACUACGUGCCAGCAGCCGCGGUAAUACGUAGGUCCCGAGCGUUGUCCGGAUUUAUUGGGCGUAAAGCGAGCGCAGGCGGUUUGAUAAGUCUGAAGUUAAAGGCUGUGGCUCAACCAUAGUUCGCUUUGGAAACUGUCAAACUUGAGUGCAGAAGGGGAGAGUGGAAUUCCAUGUGUAGCGGUGAAAUGCGUAGAUAUAUGGAGGAACACCGGUGGCGAAAGCGGCUCUCUGGUCUGUAACUGACGCUGAGGCUCGAAAGCGUGGGGAGCGAACAGGAUUAGAUACCCUGGUAGUCCACGCCGUAAACGAUGAGUGCUAGGUGUUGGAUCCUUUCCGGGAUUCAGUGCCGCAGCUAACGCAUUAAGCACUCCGCCUGGGGAGUACGACCGCAAGGUUGAAACUCAAAGGAAUUGACGGGGGCCCGCACAAGCGGUGGAGCAUGUGGUUUAAUUCGAAGCAACGCGAAGAACCUUACCAGGUCUUGACAUCCCGAUGCUAUUUCUAGAGAUAGAAAGUUACUUCGGUACAUCGGUGACAGGUGGUGCAUGGUUGUCGUCAGCUCGUGUCGUGAGAUGUUGGGUUAAGCCCCGCAACGAGCGCAACCCCUAUUGUUAGUUGCCAUCAUUCAGUUGGGCACUCUAGCGAGACUGCCGGUAAUAAACCGGAGGAAGGUGGGGAUGACGUCAAAUCAUCAUGCCCCUUAUGACCUGGGCUACACACGUGCUACAAUGGUUGGUACAACGAGUUGCGAGUCGGUGACGGCAAGCUAAUCUCUUAAAGCCAAUCUCAGUUCGGAUUGUAGGCUGCAACUCGCCUACAUGAAGUCGGAAUCGCUAGUAAUCGCGGAUCAGCACGCCGCGGUGAAUACGUUCCCGGGCCUUGUACACACCGCCCGUCACACCACGAGAGUUUGUAACACCCGAAGUCGGUGAGGUAACCUUUUGGAGCCAGCCGCCUAAGGUGGGAUAGAUGAUUG
Molecule: ribosomal RNA, 1459 nt
Filed under: uncultured organism
Description: SSU rRNA
Rfam family: Bacterial small subunit ribosomal RNA
Source: RNAcentral